CUGCUUCUAUUUACUUGUCCUUCAGUGACAGAGUCCACAAGUUCCUCUUGACAGUGAUACUUGUUGCUCUACAAUCUUUGUUUCUAGGUGCAAGAUGUACAAAUAAAGAAAAUUCUUGCAUCCAGAGAGAAGUCUCUGAAGGAAAUGGACAGUCUAAGAGAAAUACUAGAACAGCAUCCUCUUCACUUUUCUUUCCACGAUGGGAAAAUUCUAAAGCUCUGUCCUGUAAGGAGUGAGCAGACUUGGGCACUGAACAUCAAGCGAGGCAUUCUUAGUGUCCUGCAGACAUCGCAAGCAUCCACUGCUGGUGGAGUCAUUGAAGAGAUGGAUAUUCUGGGAAUAUGCCCAACCCGGUAUCAGCGAAAAGGUCCUGUUCUUGUGAAGACCCGGGACUUAAACCUCUGCUCUCAUCGGUAUUCUGGUUUUACUUCUGUGCAGUCUGUUGCUCUUCCUCAUAUGUCGGUAAGCGUUGGGGAAUGAUGCUGAUGCUUGCAUGGGUCCUUUUAGUUUCUUUGAAGGGUCUAAGUACCAGGUUUG
RNAcentral lists this long non-coding RNA (537 nucleotides) under Struthio camelus australis. RNAcentral's name for it is "lncRNA (ENSSCUG00000016073.1)". Lineage: Eukaryota; Metazoa; Chordata; Aves; Struthioniformes; Struthionidae. The record is from RNAcentral.